Molecule: non-coding RNA, 1411 nt
Organism: Cinara cedri
Lineage: Eukaryota; Metazoa; Arthropoda; Insecta; Hemiptera; Aphididae
Source: the annotation of a GenBank genome assembly
GAAUUAGGCCGAUUAGUGGUAAAACCUUUUAUAAUAAUUUAUUAUUGUCUAUUUUACACAAAUGUUAUGCUAAUAUUUCUAUAAAUUAUUCGAAGGGAUAUGGCGGAGGGCUAAGACAGACUGGCCUUUUAUCCAGUGCCUACUCACGCCAAUAGAUCCCCAAGCAAAAUGUGUUUUGGUUUUGACCAUAAGUCACAUUUUUAGCCAAACCAUAUCAUACUUAGUACAGCACAAUAAUAAUCAGAUUUUAAAUUUCACAUUCCGUAAUCGAGACUAUCGAGACCACGUCUGAAAUUGUGUAUUAUUAUUAUCUCCCGUCUGAAAAUAUGAAAAACCAUAAUUUAUCAUCUUGACGGAAUAACUUUUUUAAAAGAAUCGAAUGCUGUGACUCGCCGGAUUGAUUACACAGACGUGUUUUAUUUCCAACGGUACAUAGAGCUAAAUGAGUAAAACAAGGGUCAAAAUGUAAAUUAUUAAGGUCUCGUAUCAUUAAAAAAUAUAUUAUACGUUAAAUAUACAAUUUUAUUAUUUAUUCAACACAAAGCUAAUUAAUAUAAUAUUAAUAGACGAUGAUACAUAUAAUAAAGAAAAUACAGUUAUCGAUCGCGAUAAUGUAUAAUAUUGUGUUUUUAAGUACAUUAUUGUAUUGUAUGAACUUAUGAACUAUGUCUGCUUGUUCGCAUUUUACGAGUAUAUGUGUAUAGUGUACCUACAUUCAACUUUCUUACGAUUACAUUAUUAUUUUACCUUAACAUCAUUUCAAUUUUUAUAACAUUGUUAAAAAGAGGCUAUAGCCGCAUUUACCGUAUUGGUCCAAUUAUAACGGGCAACGUACCAAAAUUACAUUUCUGAGAACAUGAAUUAAGAUGGCGCUUAAGUUUAAACGCAAAUAACAACAUUUAAAAAGUAGAAUUAUACUUUUGGGGGUAGUACGUUGCUAUUUUACUAAAACAUUGGGGGAAAAAAACAUGCUUUCGAAAAUAUUCUCCACUUUAAACUCUAUUUUCAGCUUUUACGCCACAAUUAUUCGUGUUCUAAAUAACAGAGUAAUAAUAGUAGUUACCAUGUUGUCCGUUAGUUAAACUGAAGCAGUAAUUUGUGCAUGUUUGGCGUCUUCUGAAUAUAAUACAAUUUUUAUUAUUUAUUAUUUAUAAUGUAUAUUUUAACGGAACGAGUGGUUUGGGAGUCCAAAACGAUUUUCCGAAAAAAAAGCCCAAAGUAAAUACCUAUCUAUAUGAGAAUUCGAUAGAACGGCUGAUCCAUAUAAAUCAACGUUCGCCCAAUAGUAAGUAUUGUGUUUAACUUUACAAAUAUGUCUAAUUUAAAAUUGAGUUCUUGUUUUGGAAAAGUGAGAAUGGUAAAAAUGAACGAGAAGAAAUAAAAUACAUAUAAAGAUCAAUUAGAGAUUGUA